RNAcentral lists this ribosomal RNA (440 nucleotides) under uncultured bacterium. RNAcentral describes it as "partial 16S ribosomal RNA". It matches the Rfam family "Bacterial small subunit ribosomal RNA", at positions 338 to 795 of the family's 1533-position model. The record is from RNAcentral.
CCUACGGGGGGCAGCAGUGGGGAAUAUUGCUCAAUGGGGGAAACCCUGAAGCAGCAACGCCGCGUGAAGGAUGAAGGUUUUCGGGUUGUAAACUCCUUUUUUUAGAGAAGAUAAUGACGGUAUCUAACGAAUAAGCACCGGCUAACUCCGUGCCAGCAGCCGCGGUAAUACGGAGGGUGCAAGCGUUACUCGGAAUCACUGGGCGUAAAGGGCGCGUAGGCGGGAUAGCAAGUCAGAUGUGAAAUCCUAUGGCUUAACCAUAGAACUGCAUUUGAAACUGUUAUUCUAGAGUAUGGGAGAGGUAGGCGGAAUUCGUGGUGUAGCGGUAAAAUGCGUAGAGAUCAAGAGGAACACCCAUUGCGAAGGCGACCUGCUAGAACAUAACUGACGCUGAUGCGCGAAAGCGUGGGGAGCAAACAGGAUUAGAUACCCUAGUAGUC